CCUACGGGUGGCAGCAGUGGGGAAUAUUGCACAAUGGGCGAAAGCCUGAUGCAGCAACGCCGCGUGAAGGAAGACGGGUUUCGGCUCGUAAACUUCUUUCAACAGGGCCGCAAGAAAUGACGGUACCCGAAUAAGAAGCCCCGGCGAACUACGUGCCAGCAGCCGCGGUAAUACGUAGGGGGCAAGCGUUAUCCGGAAUGACUGGGUGUAAAGGGUGAGUAGGCGGCAUGGUAAGCCAGAUGUGAAAGCCUUUGGCUUAACCCGAGGAUUGCAUUUGGAACUAUCAAGCUAGGGUACAGGAGAGGAAAGCGGAGUUCCUAGUGUAGCGGUGAAAUGCGUAGAUAUUAGGAAGAACACCAGUGGCGAAGGCGGCUUUCGGGACUGAAACUGACGCUGAGGAACGAAAGCGUGGGGAGCGAACAGGAUUAGAUACCCUGUAGUC
Molecule: ribosomal RNA, 442 nt
Filed under: uncultured bacterium
Lineage: Bacteria
Description: partial 16S ribosomal RNA
Rfam family: Bacterial small subunit ribosomal RNA
Source: RNAcentral